UACGUAGGCGGAAAAUUAAGUCAGUAGUGAAAUCCUGCAGCUUAACUGUAGAACUGUUAUUGAUACUGGUUUUCUUGAAUUUAGUUGAGGUAGGCGGAAUGUGUAAUGUAGUGGUGAAAUGCUUAGAUAUUACACAGAACACCGAUUGCGAAGGCAGCUUACUAAACUAUGAUUGACGCUGAGGUACGAAAGCGUGGGGAGCGAACAGGAUUAGAUACCCUGGUAGUCC
Molecule: ribosomal RNA, 229 nt
Filed under: uncultured bacterium
Lineage: Bacteria
Description: partial 16S ribosomal RNA
Rfam family: Bacterial small subunit ribosomal RNA
Source: RNAcentral